This 434-nucleotide ribosomal RNA is filed under the name Enterobacter sp. RNAcentral describes it as "bacterial SSU rRNA". It matches the Rfam family "Bacterial small subunit ribosomal RNA", at positions 343 to 769 of the family's 1533-position model. The record is from RNAcentral. Lineage: Bacteria; Pseudomonadati; Pseudomonadota; Gammaproteobacteria; Enterobacterales; Enterobacteriaceae.
GGGAGGCAGCAGUGGGGAAUAUUGCACAAUGGGCGCAAGCCUGAUGCAGCCAUGCCGCGUGUAUGAAGAAGGCCUUCGGGUUGUAAAGUACUUUCAGCGGGGAGGAAGGUGAUAAGGUUAAUAACCUCAUCGAUUGACGUUACCCGCAGAAGAAGCACCGGCUAACUCCGUGCCAGCAGCCGCGGUAAUACGGAGGGUGCAAGCGUUAAUCGGAAUUACUGGGCGUAAAGCGCACGCAGGCGGUCUGUCAAGUCGGAUGUGAAAUCCCCGGGCUCAACCUGGGAACUGCAUUCGAAACUGGCAGGCUAGAGUCUUGUAGAGGGGGGUAGAAUUCCAGGUGUAGCGGUGAAAUGCGUAGAGAUCUGGAGGAAUACCGGUGGCGAAGGCGGCCCCCUGGACAAAGACUGACGCUCAGGUGCGAAAGCGUGGGGAGC